AAACCCUAAUUCACAUCGAGAUCCGAACGAGUAUAGUAGAGUUUCGGAGAGAUCCGAAUCUUCAAUGGCACAUCGAAGAGUGAAAUUGCUGUUCCUUCUCUGCGCUCUUUGUUAUGCACUCAAUUCCUUUGCCGCAAAGAGCUAUUACGAUAUACUGCAAGUGUCGAAGAGUGCGGGGGAUGAUCAGAUUAAGAGAGCGUAUAGGAAACUGGCAUUGAAGUAUCAUCCUGAUAAGAAUCCGAGGAAUGAAGAAGCUAAUAAGAAAUUCGCGGAGAUUAACAAUGUGUGAUGGUUGCAGAGAAUCUGGAGGAACAUGUGGUACAAAUCAGAAUGAUUUUUCUCAUUUUUCUUGUAACUGUCCUUCUGGAAGUGGAACUCAUCAUGAUGCUGCAAAUUGUUCUUCUUAUCACAAGACGUUGAGUAUCAAACGAGCUUGGCAAAGGAAGUCGAAAGCCGCAAAAUUCUCAAUCGUCGUGACAGUGCUUACAUCGUUGGCCAUCGGAACCUGUCUAUUUUUAUUUUUCUUAUUCUUUAGGGAAAGACUUGCUUACAUAUUUACCUCAAACAAAGAGGUGGCUGUAGCGG
This is an RNA transcript of Vicia villosa (hairy vetch), 585 nucleotides long. It is a transcript of the gene named dnaJ protein ERDJ3B-like, with no coding region annotated. NCBI's taxonomy places the organism in Eukaryota, Viridiplantae, Streptophyta, Magnoliopsida, Fabales, Fabaceae. The record is from RefSeq and is a predicted model, not a curated record. The transcript is spliced from 4 exons.